GAACCGUACAAACGUUAUUCGGAAUCACUGGGCUUAAAGGGUGCGUAGGCGGCUCGUCAAGUUGGGUGUGAAAUCCCUCGGCUCAACCGAGGAACUGCGCUCAAAACUGGCGAGCUCGAGGAAGACAGAGGUGAGCGGAACUUAGGGUGGAGCGGUGAAAUGCGUUGAUAUCCUAAGGAACACCAGUAGCGAAGGCGGCUCACUGGGUCUUUUCUGACGCUGAGGCACGAAAGCUAGGGUAGCGAACGGGGAUUAGAUACCCCGGUAGUCCUAGCUGUAAACGAUGAGCACUAGAUCGGAGGGUCCCUCCAUAGCCUUCCCGGUCGUAGCGAAAGUGUUAAGUGCUCCGCCUGGGGAGUAUGGUCGCAAGGCUG
RNAcentral lists this ribosomal RNA (374 nucleotides) under uncultured organism. RNAcentral's name for it is "partial 16S ribosomal RNA". It matches the Rfam family "Bacterial small subunit ribosomal RNA", at positions 527 to 896 of the family's 1533-position model. The record is from RNAcentral.